CGAGCGAGAGAGAGCUUGCUUUCUCGAGCGAGUGGCGAACGGGUGAGUAACGCGUGAGGAACCUGCCUCAAAGAGGGGGACAACAGUUGGAAACGACUGCUAAUACCGCAUAAGCCCACGGGUCGGCAUCGACCAGAGGGAAAAGGAGUAAUCCGCUUUGAGAUGGCCUCGCGUCCGAUUAGCUAGUUGGUGAGGUAACGGCCCACCAAGGCAACGAUCGGUAGCCGGACUGAGAGGUUGAACGGCCACAUUGGGACUGAGACACGGCCCAGACUCCUACGGGAGGCAGCAGUGGGGAAUAUUGCACAAUGGGGGAAACCCUGAUGCAGCGACGCCGCGUGGAGGAAGAAGGUCUUCGGAUUGUAAACUCCUGUUGUUGGGGAAGAUAAUGACGGUACCCAACAAGGAAGUGACGGCUAACUACGUGCCAGCAGCCGCGGUAAAACGUAGGUCACAAGCGUUGUCCGGAAUUACUGGGUGUAAAGGGAGCGCAGGCGGGAAGACAAGUUGGAAGUGAAAUCUAUGGGCUCAACCCAUAAACUGCUUUCAAAACUGUUUUUCUUGAGUAGUGCAGAGGUAGGCGGAAUUCCCGGUGUAGCGGUGGAAUGCGUAGAUAUCGGGAGGAACACCAGUGGCGAAGGCGGCCUACUGGGCACCAACUGACGCUGAGGCUCGAAAGUGUGGGUAGCAAACAGGAUUAGAUACCCUGGUAGUCCACACCGUAAACGAUGAUUACUAGGUGUUGGAGGAUUGACCCCUUCAGUGCCGCAGUUAACACAAUAAGUAAUCCACCUGGGGAGUACGACCGCAAGGUUGAAACUCAAAGGAAUUGACGGGGGCCCGCACAAGCAGUGGAGUAUGUGGUUUAAUUCGACGCAACGCGAAGAACCUUACCAAGUCUUGACAUCCCUCGACGAUGCUGGAAACAGUAUUUCUCUUCGGAGCAAGGAGACAGGUGGUGCAUGGUUGUCGUCAGCUCGUGUCGUGAGAUGUUGGGUUAAGUCCCGCAACGAGCGCAACCCUUAUGGUCAGUUACUACGCAAGAGGACUCUGGCCAGACUGCCGUUGACAAAACGGAGGAAGGUGGGGAGGACGUCAAAUCAUCAUGCCCUUUAUGACUUGGGCUACACACGUACUACAAUGGCGUUAAACAAAGAGAAGCAAGACCGCGAGGUGGAGCAAAACUCAGAAACAACGUCCCAGUUCGGACUGCAGGCUGCAACUCGCCUGCACGAAGUCGGAAUUGCUAGUAAUCGUGGAUCAGCAUGCCACGGUGAAUAAAAACCCGGGCCUUGCACA
This 1299-nucleotide ribosomal RNA is filed under the name uncultured bacterium. Its description in RNAcentral is "bacterial SSU rRNA". It matches the Rfam family "Bacterial small subunit ribosomal RNA", at positions 63 to 1387 of the family's 1533-position model. The record is from RNAcentral.